GAUGAACGCUGGCGGCGUGCCUAAUACAUGCAAGUCGAGCGAACAGACGAGGAGCUUGCUCCUCGGACGGUAGCGGCGGACGGGUGAGUAACACGUGGAUAACCUACCUAUAAGACUGGGAUAACUUCGGGAAACCGGAGCUAAUACCGGAGAAUAUAUUGAACCGCAUGGUGCAAUAGUGAAAGACGGUGUUGCUGGCACUUAGAGAUUGAGCCGCGCCGCAGUAGCUAGUUGGUAAGGUAACGGCUUACCAAGGCAACGAUGCGUAGCCGACCUGAGAGGGUGAUCGGCCACACGGGAACUGAGCCACGGUCCAGACUCCUACGGGAGGCAGCAGUAGGGAAUCUUCCGCAAUGGGCGAAAGUCUGACGGAGCAACGCCGCGUGAGUGAUGAAGGUCUUCGGAUCGUAAAACUCUGUUAUUAGGGAAGAACAAAUGUGUAAGUAACUAUGCCCGUCUUGACGGUACCUAAUCAGAAAGCCCCGGCUAACUACGUG
RNAcentral lists this ribosomal RNA (497 nucleotides) under uncultured bacterium. Its description in RNAcentral is "partial 16S ribosomal RNA". It matches the Rfam family "Bacterial small subunit ribosomal RNA", at positions 28 to 507 of the family's 1533-position model. The record is from RNAcentral.